GUCCCGUUCACGAGCGCAUGUUAUCCACAGAGAAUGAAAUAAAAGUAAAUCAAACGUAGGUACGUGGGGUUUUUUGAUUCGCUCGGGCUAGUGCACCGAUGAUCGAUGACUUGCUUCUUCGCGGGGGAGAAAAUCAGAAUCCAUCAAUUCCUCGCCGCCGAGAUCGAUCGGUGUGAUUUCGUGUGAUCAAGGGUCCACUGGCAGCUGCUACCAUUUCCACACCUUUUCUUUGGUGUGAUUUCGUUUGAUCGAUCGGUCGGGCCGCACGUGUGCCGGUGUAGAAAACGCACGUACGUGUGAUAAUACAGCGAGCAACGGGCCGGCAUAUAUCGGGCCGUACGUCUUUGUCCCAAGCACGAGGAAAUUACAACGGACGGUUGCACGUACCUAAAUGUCGUUGAUCAUGUGUGUUAUCUCGCGAAGUAUAAGUGAAAUGUUUUUUUUUUCAUGGUAUUAGAUUCAAUAGGUCUAUAGUUUAGGCUUUUUUUAUGACAUUAUAAUAAUGGAUAUUUACAUAGGGGUUUUUUACAUGGAAAAAUAAUAAAUGGAAAUGCUCGUAAUGUACUCCCUCUGUCCUUAAUUAAUUGGCGCCAGUCUUUUUGCAAAUAAACCCCUGUAAAUUUUGAAAUAAACCCGCACUCCACAUCUUCAAUUAAACGUGUACUGCGCGUUAAUUUCGGGAAUUUACAGGGGGUUUGUCGCAAUAGUUUCAAUAGAACUUGGACUACAGGUUUAUUUUGAAAAUUUACAAGAGUUUUUUUAGAAAAAAAUCCGGCACCAAUUAAUUUGGGAGGGAGGGAGUAUCUAGCUCCACGAACUCUUAGCUCUAUGUCUAACAAGCUGGAAGCAAUCCUGUAAAUGUGAAGAAGAUAUUGUCCAAAUGAUUAGUAUCAUUGUUGAAGAUGAUUUUAUUUCUGUGGUUCCAAAUACUCCAACAUCCAAUGAUGAUGGUUUCUUUGAUGCUGACAUUAUUAUCUUGAAGUUGGACUGUGUUGAUGAGCAUGUUGAUAAUAUAAGAUCUGUAUCC
This 1027-nucleotide long non-coding RNA is filed under the name Brachypodium distachyon (stiff brome). Its description in RNAcentral is "long non-coding RNA (BDIS_LNC003134)". Lineage: Eukaryota; Viridiplantae; Streptophyta; Magnoliopsida; Poales; Poaceae. The record is from RNAcentral.